GGGGUCGAAUAUGGUUUCGACUGGUCUAGUUUGAUUUAAACUGCAGUGGAGUGAUGACCUAAUCAUCAACCUAAAUUAAACGCUAACACUGAAUUAGCAUUCGCUUAAUUAAACAGCCGACGUAGGCUUUAAGCACUUCGAACUGUCAAGCCUGUAGCAGUUCGUCGUAAACACAGGCUAGGUGAAGCAAGUUGCGCUCUUUCCCUUGCCAUCCGAAAACCGAAAAGGCGGAUUCAAUACCGGGUCGUUUAAGCCAUACGUAUUGUCUUAUCAAAAGUUAAACUAAACUGUAGACGUUUAAAUGUGGGAUUAUUCCAGGACGAGGGUUCGAGUCCCUCCGACUCCACCA
This 349-nucleotide transfer-messenger RNA is filed under the name Erysipelotrichaceae. RNAcentral's name for it is "UBA636 sp902803785 Standard tmRNA". It matches the Rfam family "transfer-messenger RNA". Rfam says of the family: Bacterial tmRNA, also known as 10Sa RNA or SsrA, is named for its dual tRNA and mRNA-like properties. Lineage: Bacteria; Bacillati; Bacillota; Erysipelotrichia; Erysipelotrichales. The record is from RNAcentral. RNAcentral also lists the same sequence under 1 other name.